This is a long non-coding RNA of Piliocolobus tephrosceles (Ugandan red Colobus), 509 nucleotides long. RefSeq lists it as uncharacterized. Lineage: Eukaryota; Metazoa; Chordata; Mammalia; Primates; Cercopithecidae. The record is from RefSeq and is a predicted model, not a curated record. The transcript is spliced from 3 exons.
UUUCUGUGCCCUGGCUGGCAGUGAGCUGGUCCCCUUAGCAGCUGACCUCCUCCUCCAGCCCUGUGGCUGCCUCCUCUCCAACAGGGACCUUCCUGGUGAAAGAAAAGAAACUCGGUAAUUCACUGAACAUCACCCAAGACCGGGUGCAGACCCAUGCCCUGGUGUAUAAAAGACGUAGUACUCCCUUCAUUCCUGUUUCACAGAUCCACAGACUUAAUCUUGGAGAGGCUCCUGCCAAAAGUCACCCAACUGAUUUUCAUCCACUUGGCUCCCCAGGUUGCUGCUCGACCGCUCUCUGACCUGGAUUCACUGAGGACACAUCAGGCCUUUGCCACGAGGUCCGUGGGGUGGCCAGAGCCCAGGGCUGGGUGAGUGUGGGGUGGGUCUGAGGGGGAGGACGUGCAUCCAGGGGCCAGGCCAGCCCCUGCAGGAUUUUCUGAUGUCAAAUCGCCUGUCCUGUGCCUGAGCCCUAUUACCCUAGCAGAAUGAGGACAUGCGCCUCCCUGGGC